This 65-nucleotide microRNA precursor is filed under the name Mus pahari (shrew mouse). RNAcentral's name for it is "microRNA 7085 (MGP_PahariEiJ_G0006665.1)". The record is from RNAcentral. Lineage: Eukaryota; Metazoa; Chordata; Mammalia; Rodentia; Muridae.
UGGUGCAGUGGGGGUAGGCCAGCAGGAGCAGAGCCCAAGCAGAGCUGGCCUCUUCCUACCUCCAG